RNAcentral lists this ribosomal RNA (465 nucleotides) under uncultured Klebsiella sp. RNAcentral describes it as "bacterial SSU rRNA". It matches the Rfam family "Bacterial small subunit ribosomal RNA", at positions 338 to 795 of the family's 1533-position model. The record is from RNAcentral. Lineage: Bacteria; Pseudomonadati; Pseudomonadota; Gammaproteobacteria; Enterobacterales; Enterobacteriaceae.
CCUACGGGUGGCAGCAGUGGGGAAUAUUGCACAAUGGGCGCAAGCCUGAUGCAGCCAUGCCGCGUGUGUGAAGAAGGCCUUCGGGUUGUAAAGCACUUUCAGCGGGGAGGAAGGCGGUGAGGUUAAUAACCUCAUCGAUUGACGUUACCCGCAGAAGAAGCACCGGCUAACUCCGUGCCAGCAGCCGCGGUAAUACGGAGGGUGCAAGCGUUAAUCGGAAUUACUGGGCGUAAAGCGCACGCAGGCGGUCCGUCAAGUCGGAUGUGAAAUCCCCGGGCUCAACCUGGGAACUGCAUUCGAAACUGGCAGGCUAGAGUCUUGUAGAGGGGGGUAGAAUUCCAGGUGUAGCGGUGAAAUGCGUAGAGAUCUGGAGGAAUACCGGUGGCGAAGGCGGCCCCCUGGACAAAGACUGACGCUCAGGUGCGAAAGCGUGGGGGGCAAACAGGAUUAGAUACCCGGGUAGUC